Molecule: long non-coding RNA, 426 nt
Organism: Condylostylus longicornis
Lineage: Eukaryota; Metazoa; Arthropoda; Insecta; Diptera; Dolichopodidae
Exons: 5
Source: RefSeq, a predicted model, not a curated record
UCGUACGCAAUGAAGUUUUUGUACUAAAAAUCAACAUUGGUCUGUGCACAUAUUAAGAUUUUUAUCAUCAUCACUUCAUCAAUUUAAACUUAUAUUUUGCGGCAAGUAUUGUCUAAUGUAAUUUACGUGUAUUAAAAAGGAUAUUCAAAUACAGCUGGACCUUUCCUAAAAGAAUUAUAUUCUAAAUUCAAAUAAACAACAAAAUGUAUAAAAUGUGGCAUGGUGCUCAAAACUUGAAUUUAAAAACUAACCUGGGAGAUGCUACUAAUAAACAUAAGUUGUAGGUGUAUAAUGAAUGCCAUUUUGUUUAUUUUGUGUUGUAAAACACUUGGAUAUUGAAAGAGUUGUUAUGAUAUUUCAUAUUACGGACAUUGCGUUAUAUAUAUUAUAAGAAUACAGAUAUAAGGAUAAUGGUUUAUUUUUAAG